Long non-coding RNA from Salvia miltiorrhiza (redroot sage), 578 nucleotides. RefSeq lists it as uncharacterized. Lineage: Eukaryota; Viridiplantae; Streptophyta; Magnoliopsida; Lamiales; Lamiaceae. The record is from RefSeq and is a predicted model, not a curated record. The transcript is spliced from 2 exons.
GAACUCUUCCCCCCUCUUCUCCUCUAUCUCUCUCGCUCAAUCUCGGCCGCUGGAAAGGCACAGCAAGCGCAACCACGCCGCCGCUCCGUCGCCUCCGCCUCUCCUCCAUGGCAGAUCCGCCGCCGCCGUUCAACGCCACGGAUGUUCACGGCCAUCGCCUGGCCGUGGAAGAGCACGGCCGCCGCCUGCCCGCCCUGAUUCUCUCUCUCGGUUUCUAGAUCUCUAGAUCGGAACAGGGCAUGCGCCCUCUCUGCCGGAGUCCAAGCCAGGCCGCCGUCUCUUCGUCCUCCAUCGCUGCCGUUCGUCGUCGGAUUCGCUGUGAGGAGCCGAGCACCGUCUCACAAAGAUCGGAGACAACGGCAGGUUCACCGCCGCCGCUCCGUCGCCGGCGACGAGCCACCGCGGCUGCCGCCUCCCUCUGAUUUCGACUCACACACACAGUAGGUUCAAGCCACAAUUUAGUUCACAAAAUAGCAUAGGAUUUUGAGCAGAAAUCAAAUACUGUAAAUGCUUAUUGAAAUCUGAAAUUCUUUUCUUGAAACUGAACUAGUCUAUAAAUUUCAGUUCAUAUGUGCAUA